CGCCCGGGGCGCGCCCCGGGCGGGGCGGGGGCACGGGGGUUGGAGGGCAAGUCUGGUGCCAGCAGCCGCGGUAAUUCCAGCUCCAAUAGCGUAUAUUCAAGUUGUUGCAGUUAAAAAGCUCGUAGUUGAAUUUUGGGCCUGGCUAGACGGUUUAACCGCAAGGUUAACACUGUCUUGGUUGGGCCUUUCCUUCUAGGGAA
RNAcentral lists this ribosomal RNA (200 nucleotides) under Acaulospora sp. DGGE gel band B38. RNAcentral describes it as "partial 18S ribosomal RNA". It matches the Rfam family "Eukaryotic small subunit ribosomal RNA", at positions 483 to 708 of the family's 1831-position model. The record is from RNAcentral. Lineage: Eukaryota; Fungi; Glomeromycota; Glomeromycetes; Diversisporales; Acaulosporaceae.